This 460-nucleotide ribosomal RNA is filed under the name uncultured bacterium. Its description in RNAcentral is "partial 16S ribosomal RNA". It matches the Rfam family "Bacterial small subunit ribosomal RNA", at positions 338 to 795 of the family's 1533-position model. The record is from RNAcentral.
CCUACGGGUGGCAGCAGUGAGGAAUAUUGGUCAAUGGCCGGAAGGCUGAACCAGCCAAGCCGCGUGAAGGACGAAGGUUCCAAGCAUUUUAAACUUCUUUUGUCAAGGGACAAAAUCAGGCUCGAGAGCCUGACCGAGGGUACUUGAAGAAAAAGCAUCGGCUAACUCCGUGCCAGCAGCCGCGGUAAUACGUAGGGGGCAAGCGUUAUCCGGAUUUACUGGGUGUAAAGGGAGCGUAGACGGGAGCACAAGUCUGGAGUGAAAUGCCGGGGCUUAACCCCGGAACUGCUUUGGAAACUGUGCAGCUAGAGUGCAGGAGAGGUAAGUGGAAUUCCUAGUGUAGCGGUGAAAUGCGUAGAUAUUAGGAGGAACACCAGUGGCGAAGGCGGCUUACUGGACUGUAACUGACGUUGAGGCUCGAAAGCGUGGGGAGCAAACAGGAUUAGAUACCCUGGUAGUC